RNAcentral lists this ribosomal RNA (254 nucleotides) under uncultured bacterium. RNAcentral's name for it is "partial 16S ribosomal RNA". It matches the Rfam family "Bacterial small subunit ribosomal RNA", at positions 524 to 776 of the family's 1533-position model. The record is from RNAcentral.
UACGGAGGAUCCAAGCGUUAUCCGGAAUUACUGGGCGUAAAGAGUUGCGUAGGUGGCAGAGUAAGCAGACAGUGAAAUCGUGUGGCUCAACCAUACAUCCAUUGUCUGAACUGCUCAGCUAGAAGAUGAGAGAGGUAGAUGGAAUUCCCAGUGUAGGAGUGAAAUCCGUAGAUAUCGGGAGGAACACCUGUGGCGAAAGCGGCGCACUGGACCACAACUGACGCUGAUGCGCGAAAGCUAGGGGAGCAAACAGG